Molecule: ribosomal RNA, 253 nt
Filed under: uncultured bacterium
Lineage: Bacteria
Description: partial 16S ribosomal RNA
Rfam family: Bacterial small subunit ribosomal RNA
Source: RNAcentral
CGUAGGGCGCAAGCGUUGUCCGGAAUUAUUGGGCGUAAAGAGCUUGUAGGUGGCUUGUCGCGUCUGCCGUGAAACCCGAGGCUCAACCUCGGGCGUGCGGUGGGUACGGGCAGGCUAGAGUGUGGUAGGGGAGACUGGAACUCCUGGUGUAGCGGUGAAAUGCGCAGAUAUCAGGAAGAACACCGAUGGCGAAGGCAGGUCUCUGGGCCAUUACUGACACUGAGAAGCGAAAGCAUGGGUAGCGAACAGGAUU